Podarcis muralis (Common wall lizard) is the source of this 138-nucleotide small nuclear RNA. Its record names the gene U1. It matches the Rfam family "U1 spliceosomal RNA". From Rfam's summary of the family: U1 is a small nuclear RNA (snRNA) component of the spliceosome (involved in pre-mRNA splicing). Its 5' end forms complementary base pairs with the 5' splice junction, thus defining the 5' donor site of an intron. NCBI's taxonomy places the organism in Eukaryota, Metazoa, Chordata, Lepidosauria, Squamata, Lacertidae. The record is from Ensembl.
UUGCUUCAGUUGGCAAGGGAGAUACCUUGGUCAUGAAGGAGGUUUUCCCAGGGUGCGGUCCGUCCGCUGCAUUCCGAAGUGUGUUGACCCCUGAGAUUUCCCCAAAUGUGGGACACCUGACUGCAUAAUUUGUAGCAC